Molecule: ribosomal RNA, 270 nt
Filed under: Sagartiogeton awii
Lineage: Eukaryota; Metazoa; Cnidaria; Anthozoa; Actiniaria; Sagartiidae
Description: partial 16S ribosomal RNA
Rfam family: Bacterial large subunit ribosomal RNA
Source: RNAcentral
UAAUGUAGCGUAAUCAAUAGCCAAUUAAUUGUUGGCCGGUAUGAAUGGCAUCACGAAGGCCCCACUGUCUUAAGAGGACUCUCCAUGAAAUUGAAUUCGUAGUGNANAUGCUACGUCCAUAUNGUAAGACGAAAAGACCCCAUUGAGCUUUACNAAAGACUUGUAUGGCUCGAAAUAACUNAAAUAAAAAGUUUAGAUAANGUGGGAUCGUUUUUGGUUAANGAAACACACUCUUUUAUUUUAAGANAGCUAACCUUGUAGGGAGAAUGC